RNAcentral lists this ribosomal RNA (497 nucleotides) under uncultured bacterium. RNAcentral's name for it is "partial 16S ribosomal RNA". It matches the Rfam family "Bacterial small subunit ribosomal RNA", at positions 28 to 507 of the family's 1533-position model. The record is from RNAcentral.
GAUGAACGCUGGCGGCGUGCCUAAUACAUGCAAGUCGAGCGAACGGACGAGAAGCUUGCCUCUCUGAUGUUAGCGGCGGACGGGUGAGUAACACGUGGAUAACCUACCUAUAAGACUGGGAUAACUUCGGGAAACCGGAGCUAAUACCGGAUAAUAUUUUGAACCGCAUGGUUCAAAAGUGAAAGACGGUCUUGCUGUCACUUAUAGAUGGAUCCGCGCUGCAUUAGCUAGUUGGUAAGGUAACGGCUUACCAAGGCAACGAUGCAUAGCCGACCUGAGAGGGCGAUCGGCCACACUGGAACUGAGACACGGUCCAGACUCCUACGGGAGGCAGCAGUAGGGAAUCUUCCGCAAUGGGCGAAAGCCUGACGGAGCAACGCCGCGUGAGUGAUGAAGGUCUUCGGAUCGUAAAACUCUGUUAUUAGGGAAGAACAUAUGUGUAAGUAACUGUGCACAUCUUGACGGUACCUAAUCAGAAAGCCACGGCUAACUACGUG